RNAcentral lists this transfer RNA (72 nucleotides) under Onchocerca volvulus. It matches the Rfam family "tRNA". Rfam says of the family: Transfer RNA (tRNA) molecules are approximately 80 nucleotides in length. Their secondary structure includes four short double-helical elements and three loops (D, anti-codon, and T loops). Lineage: Eukaryota; Metazoa; Nematoda; Chromadorea; Rhabditida; Onchocercidae. The record is from Rfam by way of RNAcentral.
UCCUUGGUAGUAUAGUGGUGAGUAUCCGUGCCUGUCAUGCGCGAGACCCGGGUUCGAUUCCGGGCCCGGGGG